Scatophagus argus is the source of this 1195-nucleotide long non-coding RNA. RefSeq lists it as uncharacterized. The transcript is spliced from 2 exons. NCBI's taxonomy places the organism in Eukaryota, Metazoa, Chordata, Actinopteri, Scatophagidae. The record is from RefSeq and is a predicted model, not a curated record.
UUCAGUUCCUCACCUGCUCAAAACAAUGUGACACAAAAACACGUGUGCCCAUGCGCGGGCUUUUUUCCAAGCUGACUUCCUGUCAGGAGGAUGACAUUAUUUAUAUGCAGAUUUCCUCCUGCUGUUGUGCUGUAUUGUUCGACUUUCAAUAAGAAGUAAUUAGCUGCAGAUCCGUGUGGAUGAGGCUAUCACCUUCAAGUUGAUUUGUCAUUCAUAGCACAGGCGUCAAAAUGAAAGAAAGCCUGUAAUAACAGAUCUCCAACGACCAAACAGCCAAGAAAAACUCCUCACGUUUUCCUGAGGGCGGCUACACCACAUCACCAAAAGUAUCCAGACGCCUGAACAUUAACCAGCAUGUGAAUGAUGAAUGCUUCAUUCUAAUCCAGGGGCAGGCUGGUUUGCUCAGAGUCUUUGGGCUCGUGUAUAUUUGUGCUUAGAGAGUUUUCAUCCCUGUAGUGCAGCUUCAGACCACGUUGUAGUUUUUAUCAGUCUGACAGCUGCUGCUCUUGAGUGUUGCAACACUUACUGCAAUGUUUUCCUCCCAUCUCUCCCAUAAUUGUGUUAUGUUUGCAGUGUAGUUUGUCUGUCUCAGAGGGACGUCUUCACGAGGUGUGCGGCCCUACGAGGACGUGGAGUCUCCUGGACAGCAGCAGUUCUAAAAGUCUGGUGGACGCUGCACUGAAAUGAAGAUGACUUCGAUGUGAUGCUGGAGUGGAGUUUACCACUAACUCUUUUGGUUUCCUCACAACACUUACAGCUACUUUCUACUUUACUUUCCAUUUCCAGUGGAAGCAGCCAGAGCAGCACUUCCCUUUUCAACAUGUGGUUCUGGAAUGAAAGGAUGGACAGACACAGCGAAACAAAGGGCCACAGGAGGCUGGAAUCAGUCCCAGCCCGUACAGACGGUUUACCUUCCCCACAGAAUCCCUUGGUGAACUGGAGUGCCAGGACCAAACGGAGAGAGGACCCAGCAGGGCUGCAGAUGUGACAGCUGUGUCCCUCCCUGCAGCGAUGACCGCCGCUCACGUUUCAUACGCUGAAAUGUUGUGCUUUGUCUGCCUUCAUCUGCUUCUGUCACCUCCACAAUGAGCCGCACUGGUUUUACUUUAAAGGCCAAAGGCUCAGAGAGAAUUUUGAUGUGAGGUCUUCUUUCUGUUUUUGCUCUGUGUUGCAGUAAUAAAAGCCUGAAACUCCA